This 240-nucleotide unclassified non-coding RNA is filed under the name soil metagenome. Its description in RNAcentral is "partial contains 5.8S ribosomal RNA, internal transcribed spacer 2, and large subunit ribosomal RNA". The record is from RNAcentral.
AACCUUAUGGACCUGCGGGCGUAUACCUGCGGAGGGAUCAUUACACAAUAAACAUAUGAAGGCUGCACCGCCAACAGGCGGCAAGGCUGGAGUAUUUUAUUACCCUUGUCUUUUGCGCACUUGUUGUUUCCUGGGCGGGUUCGCCCGCCUCCAGGACCACAUGAUAAACCUUUUUUAUGCAGUUGCAAUCAGCGUCAGUACAACAAAUGUAAAUCAUUUACAACUUUUAACAAUGGAUCU